GAGGUGGGAGGACUGCUUGAAUCCAGGAGUUCGAGGCUGCAGUGAGCCGUGAUCACAUCACUGCACUCCAGCCUGAGUGACAGAGCAAGACCUUGUCUC
This 99-nucleotide microRNA precursor is filed under the name Saimiri boliviensis boliviensis (Bolivian squirrel monkey). Its description in RNAcentral is "miRNA (ENSSBOG00000007561.1)". Lineage: Eukaryota; Metazoa; Chordata; Mammalia; Primates; Cebidae. The record is from RNAcentral.